CUCCCUAGAUAGUUGGAUUGUUAUUUUUUGUAGUUGUUUCUUCCAUGGUGAACUAUGAGGAACAAUUCCCAAGAUAUCAGGAGACUUCCAAAUUCCAAGGGCAAUGCUUUGUACUCAUCUGUCUGUCGCUACACUGAGAGUCCUGAUUUUGUCAACACAUCUGGCAUGGACUAAGGCUUAAUGGGCUGCAGUACCACCCAUCUGGGCCGGAAAGAGCAGGAUUACAGAAUCAUUCUGAGCAUUGCCUUCACGGGAUUUCAAUCAAGUCUUUCGUGAAUAAUAAGCUAAGAACAAAACUUCGAAAAAAGAUCCCCGCGGAUCAAAAGGCGCGCGCCGGCGACCGAUCGAACGACCACCCAACCCGUGCGUGUGUCGCCACCUCGUCCGGGCGGGCAAAUCAACCGCCCGCGUGCAGGAGCGCUACGCGAGUACGCGACGCGAUUGCUACGCGGAUUUCGCCGUGGUGGUGGUGGUGGUGGUGGUGGUGGUGGUGUGUCUUUCGGCGUGGUGGCGAGGAUGGCCGGGAUGUCAGAAGUGGCGCCGGGUGGCCGGGGGUCGAUCGCUCUGAUAGAUGGAAUGUAAAGAUAUCACCAGGCCAUGGACGGCCGGCGACCGCUUGAAAGUACACCGGGACGGGAUGGCCAGCAUGCACGUGAAAUGCGAUAAGGCGGUGAGGAUGCGUGCUUCGUUUUGCAGGUCCUCAUGACUGUGAUUGGUGGCCUGAACCUGCAUGACCGUUCAGUACAAUUCUGCGACGUGCUUCUAACGCUGAACUGACGUGUCACAUGGGGAUGCAUGCAGAGAAGAUUCAGGAGACGCUACUAACUAGCGACCGCUUGUCAUUUUAGAGAAACCUCAUUUCAGUUUCACUGCGACUACUUGUGAUGCACCGGUGAUCAGUCACCUAUCGGUGCAUGCAAUAUGUGGCUGCGUGCAUGCAUGCUCGUUUGUCAUCUAGUAUGGUCGAUCAAUCUCAUUCAAUCUCGUGGUGUAGGCAGGCGCAGGCCGAUCAGGUCUGGAAUGUGGAGGAACUGAUCCGCGUGAGUGCGCGUGCUGGGCCUAUGAUCAGCUUUGCUUUCCGCAAAUCCGGCGCCCGCCGUGAUACAGUUUGGUUCUGCACUUCUGCGUGCGUGCGUGCUUGCACACGCAACGCAGUAUGCUGGAACGAUACAUGCACAUUACUGACAAGUUUUUUCUUUGAAAAGUACUACUGACAAGUGCUAACCAUACAAUGCACUU
Molecule: long non-coding RNA, 1239 nt
Organism: Oryza brachyantha (malo sina)
Lineage: Eukaryota; Viridiplantae; Streptophyta; Magnoliopsida; Poales; Poaceae
Exons: 4
Source: RefSeq, a predicted model, not a curated record